UACGUAGGCAGCAAGCGUUGUUCGGAGUUACUGGGCGUAAAGAGUGUGUAGGCGGUUCUCUAAGUUCGGUGUGAAAUCUCCCGGCUCAACUGGGAGGGUGCGCCGGAAACUGGAGGGCUUGAGUAUGGGAGAGGAAAGCGGAAUUCCUGGUGUAGCGGUGAAAUGCGUAGAUAUCAGGAGGAACACCUGCGGUGUAGACGGCUUUCUGGACCAUCACUGACGCUGAGACACGAAAGCGUGGGUAGCAAACAGG
This 253-nucleotide ribosomal RNA is filed under the name uncultured bacterium. RNAcentral's name for it is "partial 16S ribosomal RNA". It matches the Rfam family "Bacterial small subunit ribosomal RNA", at positions 524 to 776 of the family's 1533-position model. The record is from RNAcentral.